GCCAUCGACGUUGGUUGCAUGGCAGGAGAGAAUUGGAACGCUGCAGAGAGGACCAGCAUGGCCCCCUGCGCAUAGAUGACACGGAACCUCGUGAAGUGUCCUCCCGUUCU
Small nuclear RNA from Petromyzon marinus (sea lamprey), 110 nucleotides. The record is from Ensembl. NCBI's taxonomy places the organism in Eukaryota, Metazoa, Chordata, Hyperoartia, Petromyzontiformes, Petromyzontidae.